CCUACGGGUGGCAGCAGUGGGGAAUAUUGGGCAAUGGGCGCAAGCCUGAACCAGCAACGCCGCGUGAAGGAAGAAGGCUUUCGGGUUGUAAACUUCUUUUGUCAGGGAAGAGUAGAAGACGGUACCUGACGAAUAAGCCACGGCUAACUACUGGCCAGCAGCUGCGGUAAUACGUAGGUGGCAAGCGUUGUGCGGAUUUACUGGGUGUAAAGGGCGUGUAGCCGGGUUGACAAGUCAGAUGUGAAAUCCUGCGGCUUAACCGCAGAACUGCAUUUGAAACUGUUGAUCUUGAGUACAGGGGAGGCAGACGGAAUGCCUAGUGUAGCGGUGAAAUGCGUAGAUAUUAGGAGGAACACCAGUGGCGAAGGCGGUCUGCUGGACAGCAACUGACGGUGAGGCGCGAAAGCGUGGGGAGCAAACAGGAUUAGAUACCCUUGUAGUC
RNAcentral lists this ribosomal RNA (442 nucleotides) under uncultured bacterium. RNAcentral describes it as "partial 16S ribosomal RNA". It matches the Rfam family "Bacterial small subunit ribosomal RNA", at positions 338 to 795 of the family's 1533-position model. The record is from RNAcentral.